RNAcentral lists this ribosomal RNA (921 nucleotides) under uncultured bacterium. RNAcentral's name for it is "bacterial SSU rRNA". It matches the Rfam family "Bacterial small subunit ribosomal RNA", at positions 9 to 916 of the family's 1533-position model. The record is from RNAcentral.
GAGUUUGAUCCUGGCUCAGGAUGAACGCUAGCGACAGGCUUAACACAUGCAAGUCGAGGGGCAGCGGGGGCGAAGCUUGCUUCGCCUGCCGGCGACCGGCGCACGGGUGAGUAACACGUAUGCGACCUGCCCCCCGCAGGGGGAUAACCGGGAGAAAUCCCGACUAAUACCGCGUAACGCCGCGGGGCUGCAUGGCUCCGCGGCCAAAGGAAGCGAUUCCGGCGGGGGAUGGACAUGCGGCGCAUUAGCUAGUCGGCGGGGUAACGGCCCACCGAGGCGACGAUGCGUAGGGGUUCUGAGAGGAAGGUCCCCCACACUGGUACUGAGACACGGACCAGACUCCUACGGGAGGCAGCAGUGAGGAAUAUUGGUCAAUGGGCGGGAGCCUGAACCAGCCAAGUCGCGUGAGGGAAGACGGUCCUAUGGAUUGUAAACCUCUUUUGCCGGGGAGCAACGGGGUCCUUGCGAGGGCCUAAUGAGAGUACCCGGAGAAAAAGCAUCGGCUAACUCCGUGCCAGCAGCCGCGGUAAUACGGAGGAUGCGAGCGUUAUCCGGAUUUAUUGGGUUUAAAGGGUGCGUAGGCGGGCUGUUAAGUCAGCGGUCAAAUGUCGGGGCUCAACCCCGGCCUGCCGUUGAAACUGGUGGCCUCGAGUGGGCGAGAAGUAUGCGGAAUGCGUGGUGUAGCGGUGAAAUGCAUAGAUAUCACGCAGAACUCCGAUUGCGAAGGCAGCAUACCGGCGCCCGACUGACGCUGAGGCACGAAAGCGUGGGUAUCGAACAGGAUUAGAUACCCUGGUAGUCCACGCAGUAAACGAUGAAUGCUAGCUGUCCGGGGCUUCGGCUCUGGGUGGCACAGCGAAAGCGUUAAGCAUUCCACCUGGGGAGUACGCCGGCAACGGUGAAACUCAAAGGAAUUGACGG